RNAcentral lists this transfer RNA (66 nucleotides) under Bambusicaliscelis fanjingensis. RNAcentral's name for it is "tRNA-Met". Lineage: Eukaryota; Metazoa; Arthropoda; Insecta; Hemiptera; Caliscelidae. The record is from RNAcentral.
AAAAAGAUAAGCUAAAAAUUUAAGCUAUUGGGCUCAUACCCCAUUUAUGAAUUAUUUCUCUUUUUA